GAUGAACGCUGGCGGCGUGCCUAAUACAUGCCAGUCGAGCGAACAGAUGAGGAGCUUGCUCCUCUGACGUUAGCGGCGGACGGGUGAGUAACACGUGGAUAACCUACCUAUAAGACUGGGAUAACUUCGGGAAACCGGAGCUAAUACCGGAUAAUAUAUUGAACCGCAUGGUUCAAUAGUGAAAGACGGUUUUGCUGUCACUUAUAGAUGGAUCCGCGCCGCAUUAGCUAGUUGGUAAGGUAACGGCUUACCAAGGCAACGAUGCGUAGCCGACCUGAGAGGGUGAUCGGCCACACUGGAACUGAGACACGGUCCAGACUCCUACGGGAGGCAGCAGUAGGGAAUCUUCCGCAAUGGGCGAAAGCCUGACGGAGCAACGCCGCGUGAGUGAUGAAGGUCUUCGGAUCGUAAAACUCUGUUAUUAGGGAGGAACAAAUGUGUAAGUAACUAUGCACGUCUUGACGGUACCUAAUCGGAAAGCCACGGCUAACUACGUG
RNAcentral lists this ribosomal RNA (497 nucleotides) under uncultured bacterium. RNAcentral's name for it is "partial 16S ribosomal RNA". It matches the Rfam family "Bacterial small subunit ribosomal RNA", at positions 28 to 507 of the family's 1533-position model. The record is from RNAcentral.